CCACACGAGGUUAACGAGGGGGCGUGGCACACGGGAGGAUCGGACGAGCGCGCGUGACAAUUUGAGUUGGAGGGAUUUGACAAAAGCAUCCUUUUAGAAAUGCGUGAGGAAGGUCAAGACUCUGGUCUCCAGCUCACCGCUCUCUGUUACAUUUCCAUGGCCAUUUUGUCUGAUAGUAUCAUUCGAUUUUUCUAUGCUAUAGUUUUUUUAUGUUUAAUCAUUGC
This is a long non-coding RNA of Brienomyrus brachyistius, 224 nucleotides long. RefSeq lists it as uncharacterized. The transcript has 3 exons. The record is from RefSeq and is a predicted model, not a curated record. NCBI's taxonomy places the organism in Eukaryota, Metazoa, Chordata, Actinopteri, Osteoglossiformes, Mormyridae.